CGGAAGUGCCCUCGUGGUCGUGCGUGCUGGAAGCGUGAAGAACUCCCAUCAUCACAGGUCGCAGGGCACUUCCUCGUUUCUCGAGAAGCUAUCCACAGGCAUCAAGCCGGUGGAUCAG
Molecule: small RNA, 118 nt
Filed under: Actinacidiphila rubida
Lineage: Bacteria; Bacillati; Actinomycetota; Actinomycetes; Kitasatosporales; Streptomycetaceae
Description: Streptomyces rubidus Actinobacteria sRNA Ms_IGR-7
Rfam family: Actinobacteria sRNA Ms_IGR-7
Source: Rfam by way of RNAcentral